This 72-nucleotide transfer RNA is filed under the name Stegodyphus mimosarum. It matches the Rfam family "tRNA". From Rfam's summary of the family: Transfer RNA (tRNA) molecules are approximately 80 nucleotides in length. The record is from Rfam by way of RNAcentral. Lineage: Eukaryota; Metazoa; Arthropoda; Arachnida; Araneae; Eresidae.
GCCUUCGUGAUGUAAGGGUAGCACACUCGGCCCGUAUUCGAGAGGUCCAGGAUUCGAGUCCCGGCGAGGGCG